GAGGGUAUAGCUCAGUGGUAGAGCAUGUGCUUAGCAUGCACAAGGUCCUGGGUUCAAUCCCCAGGACCUCCA
This 72-nucleotide transfer RNA is filed under the name Camelus bactrianus (Bactrian camel). It matches the Rfam family "tRNA". From Rfam's summary of the family: Transfer RNA (tRNA) molecules are approximately 80 nucleotides in length. Their secondary structure includes four short double-helical elements and three loops (D, anti-codon, and T loops). Lineage: Eukaryota; Metazoa; Chordata; Mammalia; Artiodactyla; Camelidae. RNAcentral also lists the same sequence under 1 other name. The record is from Rfam by way of RNAcentral.